RNAcentral lists this ribosomal RNA (301 nucleotides) under uncultured bacterium. RNAcentral describes it as "partial 16S ribosomal RNA". It matches the Rfam family "Bacterial small subunit ribosomal RNA", at positions 509 to 807 of the family's 1533-position model. The record is from RNAcentral.
CAGUCGCCGCGGUAAUACGGAGGGAGCUAGCGUUGUUCGGAAUUACUGGGCGUAAAGCGCACGUAGGCGGCUUUGUAAGUUAGAGGUGAAAGCCUGGAGCUCAACUCCAGAACUGCCUUUAAGACUGCAUCGCUUGAAUCCAGGAGAGGUGAGUGGAAUUCCGAGUGUAGAGGUGAAAUUCGUAGAUAUUCGGAAGAACACCAGUGGCGAAGGCGGCUCACUGGACUGGUAUUGACGCUGAGGUGCGAAAGCGUGGGGAGCAAACAGGAUUAGAUACCCGAGUAGUCCCUGUCUCUUAUAC